Molecule: long non-coding RNA, 227 nt
Filed under: Elaeis guineensis (African oil palm)
Lineage: Eukaryota; Viridiplantae; Streptophyta; Magnoliopsida; Arecales; Arecaceae
Description: long non-coding RNA (EGUI_LNC027046)
Source: RNAcentral
CUCAGCUUCGACAUUCUGGAGAGGCAUCAUCAAUCUUUUUGACUUGUUCAAGCAAUUUUUCCACCCAAAGCUGGGAAAUGGCGAUCUUGUCUCGUUUUGGCAUGAUGCCUGGGAUCGGAACGUACCGCCAUCAGUUGCUUUUUCUCACUUAUAUAUUUUGGCCAAAGAUCCUAUAAUCUCUAUUGCCGGCUUCCUCAAGCUUUUAAGAGGCCCAUCAUCAUCCAGCC